This 266-nucleotide signal recognition particle RNA is filed under the name Peptococcaceae bacterium. Its description in RNAcentral is "signal recognition particle sRNA large type". It matches the Rfam family "Bacterial large signal recognition particle RNA". From Rfam's summary of the family: The signal recognition particle (SRP) is a universally conserved ribonucleoprotein involved in the co-translational targeting of proteins to membranes. Archaeal SRP consists of a 7S RNA and homologues of the eukaryotic SRP19 and SRP54 proteins. In most bacteria, the SRP consists of a 4.5S RNA and the Ffh protein (a homologue of the eukaryotic SRP54 protein). The record is from RNAcentral. Lineage: Bacteria; Bacillati; Bacillota; Clostridia; Eubacteriales; Peptococcaceae.
CCGUGCUAGACGGGGAGGUAGCGGUGCCCUGUACCUGCAAACCGCUAUAGCAGGGUUGAAUUCCUGUUCCGAGGAAUAAUCUUGUGAGGUCUGGCCCAGGCAAGUGGCGAUGAAGAUCGGGUCCCACGCAACGAAAAUUUGUGAACCCCGUCAGGUCCGGAAGGAAGCAGCGGUAAGCAAAACCUUUUGUGUGCCGUGGGGCGGCCUGGUCAGAACCAACUACCUGUAUACCGCUCGGAAGGUUAUAUUCGAAGACAGGUGCACGG